CGUCUCUCUCUCUCUCCUCGUCACUGUGCGUGUCGCCCGCGUGUCGUUGCCGCGCCGCCGUGCGCCUGCUCGCCGACGCGCCGCCCGCGUGCCUCGCCGCCGCGCCGUCGCGUGCUGCCGCACUGCCGUCCGCCUGCACGCCGUCGUGCGCCUGCGCGCCGCCUUGCGCGCCGUCGCCACCUGCUCUGUGCUGGCCGCCAUGAAGAAGCAAGCAGCAGCCAGCACCGAAGAAGCAAGCAAGCUGCCGGCAGAGCAAAGAAGCCAGGAAGAAAAAGGAGAAAAGAAAAGAAAAGAAAGAAAAAAAAGGGAAAAAAAGAAGGAAAAGGGAAAAGUUGGAAAUUUUGUAAUUUUGUCGGAUUCGUCGUCAACCCUUCGAAGGUGGUGUGACCUCACGUCACGACUAGCGGCCGGCUUCAUCGUCGGUAAAGGCAAGUGAAUGUAUUGUAUGACUACGCUUUGACCUAUUAUUGGGUUGCCUACAUUCUUUAAUUACAAUGCAUUCAUCUGAUCUGAAUAACUGAUUAUGAGCUGGUUACUAUGUUGUUUUCUUUUCCAGAAGUUUACUCGAUGAUUGAUUUAUGAAGUGCAGUAAGUACGAUAUGCCAUUCUGCAGUUGUUCAUUAUUGUGUUAUGCAAUGUUUUUUAAGUCUCAAGCAUUUUCCGGGAGUUAUGUUGGUUAUGCUUGAAGCACGUCAUACAUAUACAUCUCAUGCAUUGGAAGUUUGUCGUCGUCUUCUGGCCACGACCGUACCGGUACAGUACCAUAUGUCACCCGAGGAGGGGUACGGUGCACACCCUUACGUUACCCGAGGAGGGGUAAGGGUGAGGAGAGCAUGUCAUGUGCAUGGUUAUGUCUUCUUAUGAAAUUCAAUGAAUCAUUCGCAUCAAAUCUUAUUUCCUUUAGUUAGCUUGUAUAUAGAUAUAUAUACGGCUCUGAAGGCUUAUACCAACCGAAUGUUAAAAUGUUUAAUGUUAUCGUUGGACUUGCUUAGUCAUAAUUGUUUCUCCUAGUGUUGGCGGUCUGUUUCAUUACUAGCUUCUAUUUAGAAUUGUUAGCACAUUCAACUAUGGCUAAGUAGCUUUUUGUUAAAGUACCUUUCACUUGCUGAGAUUUUCGAAUCUCACCCGUGCUUUCUUUCCAGGUUCCUUUUGAGGUGUCAAACGCUUGCGGGAUGGAUAGCUACACGUCGCCUACGCGUUCCCCUUUUUUUGGGGCUAAAAUUGAUGCCCUGUCAGAUAUUGUCUUUUGCCCUGUAAUGUAUAUAUAGUGAGUUUGAUGGUGGUUCAGUGGUUUGUUCGAGGCUUGUACCUCGUUUGCUAGGAUCUUAUUUUUUGCUAGUGUGAUAUUCUAUAUCUGUUCUAUCUGGUUUGUUGUUGCC
Molecule: long non-coding RNA, 1379 nt
Organism: Phragmites australis (common reed)
Lineage: Eukaryota; Viridiplantae; Streptophyta; Magnoliopsida; Poales; Poaceae
Exons: 2
Source: RefSeq, a predicted model, not a curated record